Molecule: long non-coding RNA, 551 nt
Organism: Ochotona curzoniae (black-lipped pika)
Lineage: Eukaryota; Metazoa; Chordata; Mammalia; Lagomorpha; Ochotonidae
Exons: 3
Source: RefSeq, a predicted model, not a curated record
CAGAAGACAUCCAACAAGUUUGGGCUGAGAAGUAUCAAAAUUAGCUCUGGUUUUAGAGUGAAGAGUCCCUGUUACCCUUGGUCUGUCAUGGGGAAGAUGACCUAGACAAGGUUUACUGGAUCAUAAUAUUUCCUGGCCACUUAUGUUGGAUCCUGAGUGCUGUGACUUCCCGCAGAAACAUUCAGGAGUCUGGAUUUUCCUGAUGUUUGUGGGAGUCACAGACUGAAGCCUGAACUCUGCUGGCACCCAUGGCAGUCUCAUGCAGGAGGGCACGGUGUCAACAUUGUUUAAUCUUUGCAAAUGUGGUAUGGCAGGAUCUCAGCUACAUGGAAGAACUUAGCACUAAAUUAGUGAAGCUUCAUUUCCUCCCAACACCUCACCCAAAAGCAGCCCGUUUUAGACUCCUGGCAGGAGAUGGCCAUUUGAUCUAGCAGGCUUUGGUGGUCCAGCUCAUUGAUCCAAAGAGCAACUUGGAAAGAAUUGAGCCAUGGAUGGAGUAUCCACCAUCUUACUUAAGGCAUCAUUUUGGUUGGCUUUCGAAAGAGAGCUGC